AUUGGGGUGGCAGAGCAUGGUUAAUUGCGAAAGGCCUAAGCCCUUUUUAUCAGAGGUUCAAGUCCUCUCCCCAGUU
Molecule: transfer RNA, 76 nt
Filed under: Sarcocheilichthys sinensis
Lineage: Eukaryota; Metazoa; Chordata; Actinopteri; Cypriniformes; Gobionidae
Also listed under: 2 other names
Description: tRNA-Leu
Rfam family: tRNA
About the family: Transfer RNA (tRNA) molecules are approximately 80 nucleotides in length.
Source: RNAcentral